AUCCUACGGGAGGCAGCAGUGGGGGAUAUUGCACAAUGGGGGGAACCCUGAUGCAGCGACGCCGCGUGGGUGAAGGAGCGUUUCGGCGCGUAAAGCCCUAUCGGCAGGGAAGAAGAUGACGGUACCUGACCAAGAAGCCCCGGCUAACUACGUGCCAGCAGCCGCGGGAAUACGUAGGGUGCAAGCGUUAUCCGGAUUUAUUGGGCGUAAAGGGCUCGUAGGCGGUUCGGCGCGUCCGGUGUGAAA
This 246-nucleotide ribosomal RNA is filed under the name uncultured bacterium. RNAcentral describes it as "partial 16S ribosomal RNA". It matches the Rfam family "Bacterial small subunit ribosomal RNA", at positions 335 to 599 of the family's 1533-position model. The record is from RNAcentral.